AUGGAGAGACAGAGAGAUGGAGAGACAGAGAGAGACAGAGAUAGAGAGACAGAGAGACAGAGAUGGAGAGACAGAGAGAGAGACAGAGAUGGAGAGACAGAGACAGGCAGAAAGACAAGAUGGAGAGACAGAGAGAGACAGACAGACAGAGAUGGAGAGACAGAGGCAGACAGAGAGACAGAGAUGGAGAGACAGAGACAGACAGACAGAGACAGAGAUGGAGAGACAGAGACAGACAGAGAUGGAGAUGCAGAGAGAGACAGACAGAGAGAGAGAGACACAAGACAUCAGUGGUCUGGGUCUGUGUCCGUGGUUGGAUCUUGGGCUGCAGGUGACCAUCGAGGACUGAGCUGUGAGGGAGACGGGGUCGGAGCUGGGCCAGCCGGGAGGGGCAGGGCACGCUGGAGUGGAAGGCGGCCGGUGGAUCCCCACAUAUGUGAGCUGUUCCAUUUUCUGUCACAGAGAAGGGCAGAGACGAUCUCACUCCCGUGGCUCGGACUUUGUCAGGGAACCAAGAAAUGCAGCAGGAGGAGUGUGGUCUCCUUCCUUAUCACGACUGACAUGGAAAAAUCACAAGGCAGGCAGCCUCCCUGUGGCAGAGGCCCGAGGCAGCAAGGUGCACAAACUCCAGCUGUGGGUGAAUGGAUCCCUGCCCCUGUCCACACCUGCUGCUCUGGGCCAGCGGCCUUUUCCACCAGAGGGGACGGGGUCUUGCUCCAAGGACGGCCCUCCCAGUGCAGUCCCCAGUCUGUUGGGCCAGAGGCCUCAAGGCAGUGCUGGUUAAAGAUGGCUGGUCCAGGGCCCGGCCUUGGUCAGAACAUCCAGGUGGGAAGACCCUACUGUAGACCGAAGAAGCCCCUACUCUCUCUACCCAGGUGUGCAGGGCUCACCGGGCAGGUGGGGACCCUCCAGAAACUCCCACUGAGGCCUCAGGAAAAGCCACAGCCUCCUCCCACCCCAGAUGCCUCCUCCCACCCCAGAUGGCAUGAAACUGGCACCCAGUCUUGGUGCCCCGUUCCUUGCCUCCAGUCACCCCUUCUGUCUGCCCCCUGCACACACAGCCCUGCACACAUAUACACUUGCGCACUCACACACCCCCGCACACACACCCCUGACCUCACACUUGUACACACACAUCUGCACUCACACCUGCACACACUCUUGCACACACCCUGCACUCACACAUCUGCAUUCACACUCCUGACCUCACACUUGCACACACACCUGCACACACAUGUGUACACUCACACACUUACACAUGCACACCCCUGCACUCACCCCCUCCACUCACACACACCUGCAUACACACCCCUGCACACACACCCCUGCACACACACCCCUGCACUCACACUCCUGGCUUCACACUUGCACAGACACAUCUGCACUCACACCUGCACACACAUAUACACACACACCAGCACUCACACACUUGCACACACCUUGAAUUCACACCCAUGCACUCACACUCCUGACCUCACACUUGCACACACAUCUGAACACACACAUGCACACUCAAACACAUGCACACCCUGCACUCACACACAUCUGCAUACACACAUCCCUCCACUCACACACCUGGAUACACACAACCCUGCACUCACACAUACCUGCACACGCACACCCCUGCACUCACACACACCUGCGCACACACACCCCUGCAUCUCACACACUUGCACACUCACUCCUGCACACAGAUCUCAGGCCAGCACCUGGCCACCAGGGAGGUUGGGAAGUAGAGGAAGGUGCCCAGAGGCAGAAAUCAUAGACCCAGGGCAGCAGCUGGGCCCUGGAAGGUCCACAGGGAGUGCUAGGACCCCCUAA
Molecule: long non-coding RNA, 1821 nt
Organism: Macaca mulatta (Rhesus monkey)
Lineage: Eukaryota; Metazoa; Chordata; Mammalia; Primates; Cercopithecidae
Source: Ensembl